RNAcentral lists this unclassified non-coding RNA (880 nucleotides) under Hevea brasiliensis (rubber tree). Lineage: Eukaryota; Viridiplantae; Streptophyta; Magnoliopsida; Malpighiales; Euphorbiaceae. The record is from RNAcentral.
UUUGUGGAGUACGACGCUGUAGAAUUGGCUGAGAAGGCGGUUCUUGAGCUAAAUGACGUGGAUAACUGGCGAAAUGGUCUAAAAGUCCAUCUGCUGCUUAGACGCGCAGCGAAAUCUGGUCAAGCCCGAGUGAAGAAGGUUGGUCAUGAAAGUGAUCCAAACUCCAAAGAAGAUGAUGAUGUUGCAUUGGAACUCAAUGAGAAACAUGAUGGAGACUCCUCUCACCAUGUUGACGUGCAGUCCAAUGACGUUGCAGAGGAGCAUGGCCGCGUUGGGAAGAAGAAAGGGAACAAUCGUGGUCGGGGUAAGGUACAGGGACAAGGACCAGGACAGACGAGGGGUCGAGGACGUGAAACUCCCCAGUUUCGACAAACCAAUCGUGGAGGGCGUACAGGGGGUUCUGUAACAAAAGUGAAUACUGGAAGUAGUGUGGCUAGUGCCCCCUCGAGUACUGGUGGUGUUAAUGUAACAGGCCAGCCUGCAGUAGUUACUGACCAGUCAGGUGGCAAGCAAUCUUCUGUGCCUCGCAUGCCAGAUGGCACGAAGGGAUUCUCCAUGGGUCGAGGGAAACCAGUAGCUGUAAGAACUGAGUGAUGAUGUUCUAGUUUCGCGGAACUUGUCUCUGUUCAUGCAAACAUUUCCCAAGUAUAGAGAGGGCAAUGUUUCUUCUUUCUUUGCGAUAUUGAUGGCAGAGUUUUGAAGACUGCCGUCAAAUCAGUGAAGAUGAUACAUCUAUCGAUUUAGCAGCAAGAGUCAAGACUCGAGAAGUUAUAUGUUGUUUGUUGUUAAACCAAAAGAGCCACUCUAAGUCCGUGACACUGUGCUGUGAUUUAGUUUUGGAAAACUGAACCUAAAAUUAACAUAAAGCAAUACAAAAUUG